RNAcentral lists this ribosomal RNA (465 nucleotides) under uncultured bacterium. Its description in RNAcentral is "partial 16S ribosomal RNA". It matches the Rfam family "Bacterial small subunit ribosomal RNA", at positions 338 to 795 of the family's 1533-position model. The record is from RNAcentral.
ACUACGGGAGGCAGCAGUGGGGAAUAUUGCGCAAUGGGCGAAAGCCUGACGCAGCGACGCCGCGUGAGGGAUGAAGGUCUUCGGAUCGUAAACCUCUGUCAGCAGGGAAGAACGGUCACUGUGCUAAUCAGCAGUGAAUUGAUGGUACCUGCAAAGGAAGCACCGGCUAACUCCGUGCCAGCAGCCGCGGUAAUACGGAGGUUGCGUGCGUUAAUCGGAAUUACUGGGCGUAAAGCGCUCGUAGGCGGUAUGUCAAGUCAAGGGUGAAAUCCCCGCGCUCAACGUGGGAACGGCCUUUGAAACUGGCAAACUGGAGUGUGUGGGAGGAUGGUGGAAUUCCAGGUGUAGGAGUGAAAUCCGUAGAUAUCUGGAGGAACAUCAGUGGCGAAGGCGACUAUCUGGCACAUAACUGACGCUGAGGAGCGAAAGCGUGGGUAGCAAACAGGAUUAGAUACCCCUGUAGUC